CUCAUCUCCAACAUCAUCCAGCUGCUGACUGGAGAGGAGUCGGAAAAUUUACAAAAACACAGUUCCAUAAUUACAGAAGGGACAAAGGAGGAGGAGCCAAUGCAGCUCCGCCCACUGGCAGCCUGUGAGUAUAAAGAUGGGAGCGAUGUUACAGCACAUACGGAAGCAACUUUAUGUUGUAAUAAUGAUGGGAAUCUCACAAACCCUGAUGUUUCUCCAGCGGAACAGCCCCCACCGGCCAAUGGGAUUAAAGAGGAGGCGGCUUCAUGUGAAGGGGGAAACCAAUCAGAUUGCAGCAUUAAUCCCCUUACAGAACAGAUACAGGGAACAGACACACCUACUCCUAUCAUGGGGCGGAGCCUGAACAGCUCGGCAGAUAAUUAUACAUCGAUUGUUAUUAAAAAAGAACCAGCUUCAUGGGAAGGGGAAAUUCACCUUGCAGAACAAAGGCAAGAAACAGCUACAUCAACUCUUAUGGGGCGGAGCCUGAAUAACAGCACAACUGAGCACAUACAGGGAACAGACACACCUACUCCUAUCAUGGGAUUCAGCCCCAUAAAAACAAAUAGCAAUAAAUACGAUGAAAAUGCAGAUACAUCCCCCGAUAAAUCCGGCAUAGCAACAAAUACUUUGUGCAACAAAUACAGCUGCAAUGAGUGCCACAAGCAUUUUACUGACAGGAGAAAAUUUGAUAAACAUCAAAGAGUUCACAAAACAAAGAAAACUUUUUCCUGUUCUGAGUGUGGGAAACGUUUUCUGUGUCCAUCAAACCUUGCUUGUCAUCACAGAACCCACACAGGGGAGAAACCAUUUUCAUGUUCUGAAUGUGGGAAAUGUUUUUCACAGCUAUUCAACCUUAAAAUUCAUUAUAAAACCCACACAGGGGAGAAACCAUAUUCUUGUUCUGAAUGUGGGAAAUGUUUUGCUAUUUUAUAUAGUCUUAGUGUCCAUCAAAGACGAUCCCACACAGGGGAGAAACCUUUUUCUUGUUCUGACUGUGGGAAGUGUUAUGCUACUUCAUCAGGGCUUACUCUCCAUCGACGAAGAAACCACACAGGGGAGAAACCUUUUUCUUGUUCUAUUUGUGGGAAAUGUUUUACCUUUUCAUCAGAACUUACUGUCCAUGGACGAACCCACACAAGGGAGAAACCUUUUUCUUGUUCUGAAUGUGGGAAAUGUUUUUCAAACCGAUCUCUCCUUAAAGAACAUCACAGAACCCACACAGGGGAGAAACCGUUUUCUUGUUCUGAAUGUGGGAAAUGUUUUUCCAUGCAAUCCUACCUUAAAAUUCAUUAUAGAACCCACACAGGGGAGAAACCUUUUUCUUGUUCUGAAUGUGGGAAAUGUUUUUCAGACCGAUCUUGCCUUAAAGCUCAUCACAGAACUCACACAGGGGAGAAACCAUUUUCUUGUUCUGUGUGUGGGAAAGGUUUUACACGUAACGGUAAUCUUAAGAUACAUUUUCAGAGCCACACAGGAGAAAAGCCAUCACAGCUACAGGCAGCAGAGCAGUGUGGGAAAGAGGGGCACUUCCAGGCCAGUCCCUCCCACAAGGAGCCAAUGGGAAUGUGGGAGGAAGCGAGUGACCCAGUGAUGGGGAAGAAGGAUAAAAAUGAGGAGCGGAAGGAGAGAAUCCUGAAUCUCACACUGGAGAUUAUCUAUCUGCUGACUGGAGAGGGCUACGUCAUCCCUAAGAAGAAGAGCCCAACUGUGGGUUUGGGGGCCCUGCAUGCCCCUGGCUCCGUCAUACAGAAGGAAAAUGACAAGAAGAUCCUGGAACUCAUCUCCAACAUCAUCCAGCUGCUGACUGGAGAGGUUGCCAUAAGGUGUGAGGAUGUUUCCAUCUAUUUUUCCUUGCAGGAGUCGGAAAAUUUACAAAAACACAGUUCCAUAAUUACAGAAGGGACAAAGGAGGAGGAGGCUGUGCAGCUCCACCCACUGGCCUGUGAGUAUAAAGAUGGGAGCGAUGUUACAGCACAUACGGAAGCAACUUUAUGUUGUAAUAAUGAUGGGAAUCUCACAAACCCUGAUGUUUCUCCAGCGGAACAGCCCACACCGGCCAAUGGGAUUAAAGAGGAGGCGGCUUCAUGUGAAGGGGGAAACCAAUCAGAUUGCAGCAUUAAUCCCCUUACAGACCAGAUACAGGGAACAGACACACCUACUCCUAUCAUGGGGCGGAGCCUGAAUAACAGCUUGGCAGAUAAUUAUACAUCGAUUGUUAUUAAAAAAGAACCAGCUUCAUGGGAAGGGGAAAUUCACCUUGCAGAACAAAGGCAAGAAACAGCUACAUCAACUCUUAUGGGGCGGAGCCUGAAUAACAGCACAACUGAGCACAUACAGGGAACAGACACACCUACUCCUAUCAUGGGAUUCAGCCCCAUAAAAACAAAUAGCAAUAAAUACGAUGAAAAUGCAGAUACAUCCCCCGAUAAAUCCGGCAUAGCAACAAAUACUUUGUGCAACAAAUACAGCUGCAAUGAGUGCCACAAGCAUUUUACUGAUAAGAGAAAAUUUGAUAAACAUCAAAGAGUCCACAAAACAAAGAAAACUUUUUCCUGUUCUGAGUGUGGGAAACGUUUUCUGUGUCCAUCAAACCUUGCUCGUCAUCACAGAACCCACACAGGGGAGAAACCAUUUUCAUGUUCUGAAUGUGGGAAAUGUUUCUCAAACCAAUCACUCCUUAAAGUUCAUCAUAGAACCCACACAGGGGAGAAACCAUUUUCAUGUUCUAAAUGUGGGAAAUGUUUUUCACAGCUAUCCAACCUUAAAAUUCAUUAUAAAACCCACACAGGGGAGAAACCAUAUUCUUGUUCUGAAUGUGGGAAAUGUUUUGCUAUUUUAUAUAGUCUUAAUGCCCAUCAAAGACGAUUCCACACAGGGGAGAAACCUUUUUCUUGUUCUGACUGUGGGAAGUGUUAUGCUACUUCAUCAGGGCUUACUACCCAUCGACGAAGAAACCACACAGGGGAGAAACCUUUUUCUUGUUCUAUUUGUGGGAAAUGUUUUACCUUUUCAUCAGAACUUACUGUCCAUGGACGAACCCACACAAGGGAGAAACCUUUUUCUUGUUCUGAAUGUGGGAAAUGUUUUUCAAACCGAUCUUUCCUUAAAGAACAUCACAGAACCCACACAGGGGAGAAACUGUUUUCUUGUUCUGAAUGUGGGAAAUGUUUUUCCUCGCAAUCCUGCCUUAAAAUUCAUUAUAGAACCCACACAGGGGAGAAACCUUUUUCUUGUUCUGAAUGUGGGAAAUGUUUUUCAGACCGAUCUUGCCUUAAACGUCAUCACAGAACUCACACAGGGGAGAAACGAUUUUCUUGUUCUGUGUGUGGGAAAGGUUUUACACGUAACGGUAAUCUUAAGAUACAUUUUCAGAGCCACACAGGAGAAAAACCAUAGGCUUGUUGUCAUCGUUUGACAAAUUGUCAUCAGGCAAAUAUUUCACAGCUAUCCAACCUUAAAAUUCAUUAUAAAACCCACACAGGGGAGAAACCAUAUUCUUGUUCUGAAUGUGGGAAAUGUUUUGCUAUUUUAUAUAGUCUUAAUUCCCAUCAAAGACGAUUAUAUCAAUGUGCCUUUUGUUAAAUGUUUUGUCAGUUCAUCAGAAUUUACUGUAUAUUUGCAACAGAUCUGCACAGGAGAGAAGCCAUUUUCCUAUACUGAAUGUGGGAAAUGUUUUACUUGUAACAGUAAUCUUAAAAUACAUUUUUAGAGUCACAAAGGGGGAAAACCCGUAAGCUUUUUAAGUGGAUGAAAUGGUUUACAAAUAAGACAUCAGGCAACAUUUCUUUCCCAUUGAUCCUACUAUGUAUGUUGACAUUUACAGAGGAGAAGAACAUCUUUAUAUACAACUGAAUGUAUCCAUAGGACAAUCCUUAGACCAAUCAUGUUCAGCUGAAGACUCCGGGGCCUGAUGGACACAGGUGAUGCUAAGUCAGGUGCCUUAUAAUGCUCCUCCCACGGCACUGGCUCCCCAUUGGGAACUGAGGGACCUCAGUUCAUGGAAAGUGGAAUAAAUCUCUGCCUCUCCUCAACCCACAAUAUGCUUCUUACUGUAUAAAAGUUUCUUUAUAUUAAAUCUAUUUUGUGAAAUCCCUUUCCCAGG
Molecule: RNA transcript, 4105 nt
Organism: Xenopus tropicalis (tropical clawed frog)
Lineage: Eukaryota; Metazoa; Chordata; Amphibia; Anura; Pipidae
Gene name: oocyte zinc finger protein XlCOF7.1-like
Exons: 8
Source: RefSeq, a predicted model, not a curated record